This 164-nucleotide small nuclear RNA is filed under the name Sinocyclocheilus grahami. Its description in RNAcentral is "U1 spliceosomal RNA (ENSSGRG00000014499.1)". It matches the Rfam family "U1 spliceosomal RNA". From Rfam's summary of the family: U1 is a small nuclear RNA (snRNA) component of the spliceosome (involved in pre-mRNA splicing). Its 5' end forms complementary base pairs with the 5' splice junction, thus defining the 5' donor site of an intron. There are significant differences in sequence and secondary structure between metazoan and yeast U1 snRNAs, the latter being much longer (568 nucleotides as compared to 164 nucleotides in human). The record is from RNAcentral. Lineage: Eukaryota; Metazoa; Chordata; Actinopteri; Cypriniformes; Cyprinidae.
ACGGUUGGGUGACUGUAGACUCUCGGCCAAUCGGAUUGCGUAAAAGUCUACGGUCACCAUAGACUUUGCACGACUGUAGAAACAACACCUGCGAAUUCGCCAAAUGUGGGAAUCUCGACUGCAUAAUUUCUGGUAGUGGGGGACUGCGUUCGCGCUCUCCCCUG